RNAcentral lists this ribosomal RNA (399 nucleotides) under uncultured fungus. Its description in RNAcentral is "SSU rRNA". It matches the Rfam family "Eukaryotic small subunit ribosomal RNA", at positions 30 to 433 of the family's 1831-position model. The record is from RNAcentral. Lineage: Eukaryota; Fungi.
GCUUGUCUCAAAGAUUAAGCCAUGCAUGUCUAAGUAUAAGCAAUUAUACAGCGAAACUGCGAAUGGCUCAUUAAAUCAGUUAUCGUUUAUUUGAUAGUACCUUACUACUUGGAUAACCGUGGUAAUUCUAGAGCUAAUACAUGCUAAAAACCCCAACUCACGAAGGGGUGUAUUUAUUAGAUUAAAAACCAAUGCCCUUCGGGGCUCUCUGGUGAUUCAUAAUAACUUUUCGAAUCGCAUGGCCUUGUGCCGGCGAUGGUUCAUUCAAAUUUCUGCCCUAUCAACUUUCGAUGGCAGGGUCUUGGCCUGCCAUGGUUACAACGGGUAACGGAGGGUUAGGGCUCGACCCCGGAGAAGGAGCCUGAGAAACGGCUACUACAUCCAAGGAAGGCAGCAGGC